RNAcentral lists this unclassified non-coding RNA (218 nucleotides) under uncultured fungus. RNAcentral describes it as "sequence contains ITS1, 5.8S rRNA gene". The stretch from base 170 to 218 matches the Rfam family "5.8S ribosomal RNA", at positions 1 to 49 of the family's 154-position model. The record is from RNAcentral. Lineage: Eukaryota; Fungi.
UCUCCGUUGGUGAACCAGCGGAGGGAUCAUUACAGAGUUAUCUACUCCCAAACCAUUGUGAACUUACCAUAUGUUGCCUCGGCAGAACCUACCCUGUAGCGGGCUGCCGGCGGACCUCUAAACUCUUGUUAUACUAUUGUAAUCUGAGCGUCUUAUUUUAAUAAGUCAAAACUUUCAACAACGGAUCUCUUGGUUCUGGCAUCGAUGAAGAACGCAGC